Molecule: long non-coding RNA, 672 nt
Organism: Stomoxys calcitrans (stable fly)
Lineage: Eukaryota; Metazoa; Arthropoda; Insecta; Diptera; Muscidae
Exons: 2
Source: RefSeq, a predicted model, not a curated record
CCCUGUAUAAAAUAGGAAAAAACGGAAGUAGCAAUUUAAAAGCAAAAUUAACAAAUUUAUAGCCUGUUUUUGGAUGUCGAACAUGGGGAAACAAUUAAAGGUGGUCUCUGUUGUACAACAACCAUAUCAUAUGGUGCAAUCCGCCAUCUUGCCACCAAAGUGAUCGGUGUUUUGCCAACACACACAAAGAAAUUUGUGUGCGUACAUGAGCAGAGAAUAUGCGAGAAAGAAGAUAACAGCAAAGCGAAUGCAAAAUCUAACAUCUUAAUACCGUCAAACCCGACCGGCUGUUAAAUCUGCCUUGGAUGAAUCCAGACGAACAAACGCUAGAAAUCUACUCUUUUUUCGGGUGGUGUAAAUCGAGUUCAAUUUUUCGCCUGCACAUGCGCAACCCAAUAUAUCAGGUUAUGGACUGAUUUCAACCAUUCUUAGCGCAGUUGUUGGAAGUCAUAACAAAACCCUCAUGCAAAAUGUCAGCUAAAUCGGAUAGGAAUUGCGCCCUCUAGAGGCUCAAGAAGUCAAGAUUCCAGAUCGGUUACUAUGGCAGCUAUAUCAGGUUAUGGACAGCAGUUGUUGAAAGUGAUACCCAAACAUCAAGUGAAAAAUUAAAGCCAAAUCCAAAAAUUGCGCCCUCUAGAGGCUAAAGAAGUCAAGACCCAAGAUCGGUUUAUA